RNAcentral lists this ribosomal RNA (343 nucleotides) under Ophryotrocha sp. Seep 4. RNAcentral's name for it is "partial 16S ribosomal RNA". It matches the Rfam family "Bacterial large subunit ribosomal RNA", at positions 1945 to 2551 of the family's 2925-position model. The record is from RNAcentral. Lineage: Eukaryota; Metazoa; Annelida; Polychaeta; Eunicida; Dorvilleidae.
UCCGUGCUAAGGUAGCAUAAUCACUCGUCCUCUAAUUAAGGACUAGAAUGAAUGGAUUAACAAAAAAUAACUUUCUUUACUUUAAAUAUAAAACCUAAUAUAUGGAUGAAAAAUUCCAUAUUUUUUAAAAAGACCAAAAGACCCUAACGAGCUUAAAUAUUUUACAAAAAUAUUUUUAAUUGGGGCGAUUAAAGAUAUAUUUCAUCUUUUUUAAAAAUAAACAAUAAUUCCACCUAAAAUAAAUAUAAAAUAGUUACCGUAGGGAUAACAGGCUACUCAAUUUUAAAAGUUCAUAUUAACAAAUUGUCUUAGCACCUCGAUGUCGGCUUAAGGGUACUCUAAA